Molecule: ribosomal RNA, 552 nt
Filed under: uncultured Methanosarcinales archaeon
Lineage: Archaea; Methanobacteriati; Methanobacteriota; Methanomicrobia; Methanosarcinales
Description: bacterial SSU rRNA
Rfam family: Archaeal small subunit ribosomal RNA
Source: RNAcentral
GCGCGAAAACUUUACAAUGCGGGAAACCGUGAUAAGGGAAUCUCGAGUGCCAGCAUAUAAUGUUGGCUGUCCAGAUGCCUAAAAAGCAUCUGUUAGCAAGGGCCGGGCAAGACCGGUGCCAGCCGCCGCGGUAACACCGGCGGCCCGAGUGGUAACCGCUUUUAUUGGGUCUAAAGGGUCUGUAGCCGGCCAAGUAAGUCCCUUGGGAAAUCUGGCAGCUUAACUGUCAGGCCGCCAGGGGAUACUGCUAGGCUUGGGACCGGGAGAGGUGAGAGGUACCUUGGGGGUAGGGGUGAAAUCUUGUGAUCCUCGGGGGACCACCAGUGGCGAAGGCGUCUCACCAGAACGGGUCCGACGGUAAGGGACGAAAGCUAGGGGCACGAACCGGAUUAGAUACCCGGGUAGUCCUAGCCGUAAACGAUGCUCGCUAGGUGUCAGUCACGGUGCGACCGUGAUUGGUGCCGUAGGGAAGCCGUGAAGCGAGCCACCUGGGAAGUACGGCCGCAAGGCUGAAACUUAAAGGAAUUGGCGGGGGAGCACCACAACAGGUGG